GACGAACGCUGGCGGCGUGCCUAACACAUGCAAGUCGAGCGGAAAUAAUUGAAAGCUUGCUUUUGGUUAUUUUAGCGGCGGACGGGUGAGUAACGCGUGGGCAACCUGCCUGUUACAAGGGGAUAACAGAGGGAAACUUGUUCUAAUACCGCAUCACACAGCGAGGUAGAAUUCACUUGUUGUCAACGGAGAAAUCCGGUGACAGAUGGGGCCGCGUCCAAUGAGCUAGUUGGUGAUGUAACGGACCACCAAGGCGACGAUUGGUAGCCGAACUGAGAGGUUGAUCGGCCACAUUGGGACUGAGACACGGCCCAGACUCCUACGGGAGGCAGCAGUGGGGAAUAUUGCACAAUGGGGGAAACCCUGAUGCAGCAACGCCGCGUGAAGGAUGAAGGUUUUCGGAUUGUAAACUUCUUUAGUCAGGGACGAAAAAAAUGACGGUACCUGAAGAAUAAGCCACGGCUAACUACGUGCCAGCAGCCGCGGUAA
Molecule: ribosomal RNA, 489 nt
Filed under: uncultured bacterium
Lineage: Bacteria
Description: partial 16S ribosomal RNA
Rfam family: Bacterial small subunit ribosomal RNA
Source: RNAcentral